UAACUGAAGAGUUUGAUCAUGGCUCAGAUUGAACGCUGGCGGCAGGCUUAACACAUGCAAGUCGAGCGGGGAAAGGUAGCUUGCUACUGGACCUAGCGGCGGACGGGUGAGUAAUGCUUAGGAAUCUGCCUAUUAGUGGGGGACAACAUCUCGAAAGGGAUGCUAAUACC
Molecule: ribosomal RNA, 170 nt
Filed under: Acinetobacter seifertii
Lineage: Bacteria; Pseudomonadati; Pseudomonadota; Gammaproteobacteria; Moraxellales; Moraxellaceae
Description: partial 16S ribosomal RNA
Rfam family: Bacterial small subunit ribosomal RNA
Source: RNAcentral